AAUUUUCGCUCCAUCUUUGUCACAUUAGAAUUUCAGUAUCGUCACAAAUUACAUAGCGGUAAAUCUUGGCGCCCAAUUUUUUACUAAAUGUGACGAAUAAUGCACAUUCGUCACAUAGCAUGAAAGUGAGGGCUGAAAAUUUUACUGGGUGAAGAUUGGCAGCGUCACUUAUGGCCCAAAAUAAAAAAAUAAAAACAAAACCCAACGCUUCAUUCAACAACGCAAGUCAAAUGCUUCAUCGUCAUCUACACUAGCCCAAGAACAAAACCCAACGCUUCAUCUACACUAGCUGCGCUCUCUUCCACAAACCACCGGCGACGACGACCACUCCUCCUCUCCGGCGACGACGACCACUGGUCUUCCUCUCUCUCUUUCUCCCUCUCUCCAUUACUCCCUCUCUGUCUCCCCCUUCGCGUGACCCAUUGUCUCCCACAUUCAAUCACAAACAAAUUCUCAUUUCAAUCUAUUCCCCCGAAAAUAACCACGGCUAGUUAAGUCCACCUUCCACUUGUAAUCUCUCAUCCCCUUGAGAUGUGUUCUUGGUCGAAGGAGGGUGUGGCAGCAGUAAGUGUGGGCCUGGAAAUGUGUUCUUGGUUGGUGUCCAAUGAUGUGUUGGAAUUGGUUGACUCUGGUGCUAGACUUCUCUAUGUGGGCAAGACUGCUGGGUACCAUAGCAGAACCCAGAAGGUGAUACAUGAAUUGCUACUGAGUUUUGCUGAAGCUGGAGCUAAUGUUGUGAGACUAAAAGGAGGGGAUCCACUGGUGUUUGGUAGGGGUGGGGAGGAGAUGGAUUUUCUGCGACAGCAAGGAAUUGAAGUGAAUGUUAUUCCAGGCCGACACUGGCAUAGCAGAACUGAUAGCCCUUGAAGUUUCCAAACAGCCACAGUCAAUAUCCUUGGAAGAACAAGUAGACCACUAAUUGACAGUACAUAAAGACCUUGUUAAAAGGCUUUUUUCUUGUAGUGAGUUAACUUUUUAGAUGGUUUAAGAUGUAUUUGAAUUAUUUGUCUAGAUAGUUUGUACAUGAUUUUUUCUGUGUAAAUGAAAGAAAAAUGGAUUUGUUGUGUAAGCACAUCUUUUUGUUAUAUGGAGGCCAUAUUUUCUGCCUAUAUUACCACAGGAAAGAUUCUUUUGUAGCUUUUUAUGCUUUGUAUGUACACCAUUUUUAGGAGUGUGAUUUUUAUUUUUUCAUGCUUCUUGACAUAUAAUCCUUUGAUGGAUUCUGUUUUUUAUCCUUUUAUUUCCCUCACCAUGGUCACUUCUUAGACAUCAAACAUUAAUUCUGUUUGUCUUCUCACUUUAUUGUUAACAAUGUUGUAUUAUGUUUUAUAUUUUCUGGCAGUGUGUAGCUUCCCAGCCAUAAAUAAGGAUGUUCUUCCCCAAUUUGAACCAAAAAGAUCCAUUCUUUUUGGUUGUCGUUGAGGAUCGUUUGCAAUUUGGUUCAACUCUUUUUCAUCUUGGGACAACAUUACUUUCAGUUGUAGAAAAAUUAUAUUGUAGUUAUGAGAAGAAAAAAACAUGUAGUUGAGACUAUUGUAUAUCAAACAACGUAAUUAUUUUGAUGUAAUGGAAUGAAAUUUGAGUUCAAUUUACUUGCGAAACUUUGGGGAUCUUGAAUGUAUUAUUUUGCUAUAUUAUACAAGAAAAUAAUAUAAUGGGGAAUGGUA
Prunus persica (peach) is the source of this 1667-nucleotide RNA transcript. It is a transcript of the gene named uroporphyrinogen-III C-methyltransferase, with no coding region annotated. NCBI's taxonomy places the organism in Eukaryota, Viridiplantae, Streptophyta, Magnoliopsida, Rosales, Rosaceae. The record is from RefSeq and is a predicted model, not a curated record. The transcript is spliced from 7 exons.